AGGGCGAGAGGCAUGUUUUAGUCACGUUUCUGGUUUUAUUUUCGUAGCGGGAUCCUUGCGUUAAGGACCACGGCAAUGGGGAAAGUAAUAAUUAGCGCCUGAGAACUGCUCUGUGGUUUAGGUAGUUUCAUGUUGUUGGGGCUCCACCUUUCUCUCUACAGCACGAAACUGCCUUAAUUACUUCAGUUGAUAUCAUCACCAGGUAUGCUUGGUGCGAGGGUCCUUUCUACCCGAAGAAAUCUUAGCAAUGAAGUGAACUGUAGGCGUCAAGUCCCAAUGCCAUUGUUUCCCAUCUGCAGCGGAGCCUCCUUUGAUUCCUCAGAUAAACACGGCAGCCGAGGGGGGAAGCUUGACAAGUUCUUCAAGGUUAGCUAGCUCCUAAGCGAGUCCCUGCCUGCUUGCGGGUUUUUAAUAUAUCUCGUUGGCUGCAUUCAAGGUCAGGUCUGACGGGCUAUCUGCAGUGUCUGUGUACAUUUCGGGGAGUGUAUUUACAGUUCUGUGUUUGUGUGUGUGCCUGUAUGGCGUCUUUUGCCUCUGCCCUUUUGAUUCCCAGUUGAAUCGCCUCGUCCUGAUUUUGGACUGCUUCCUCUAAAUUCUGAAUCAUUUUUUCUCUUCACUGUGCCAAAACCCCUCCGUGGCUUCGUACCACCACUGGUUCCGUGAGAGAGGU
Long non-coding RNA from Serinus canaria (Common canary), 670 nucleotides. RefSeq lists it as uncharacterized. The record is from RefSeq and is a predicted model, not a curated record. The transcript has 2 exons. NCBI's taxonomy places the organism in Eukaryota, Metazoa, Chordata, Aves, Passeriformes, Fringillidae.